AACUCCACACAGAAACGGCAACUGACCCAGCCGAGGCUCGAACCAGCGACCUUCUUGCUGUGAGGUUACAGUGCUGUGCCACCGAAUCACCCGUAAAAGAAUAAUGUGCUGUUUUUAAAAUUUUACAAGCCCUGGUAGCCAUUUGGCAUGCAAAUUAGGGGGAAGACAGAUUUUUAACCUACUUCAAAAUAUCUUUGUUUUUGUACAAACAUUGAUUGCUCAAAUGCGCGUGUUCUUCUCAAUAUUUUUCAGAAAGGAAAGGCUCCCGAUCACAAUAAUGCUAAAGAGAUACCACACACCACCCAUUUGCAAGAUGAAAAUGUGCCAGAGCUCAAAAGAAGAAGAUUAAGUUUUUUUUUUUUGUUUUUUUUCCACGAAUAUCUUGAUUCGUUCAUUUUCUUUGAAAAAACAGCAGCACGAGAAAGGAGGAAGUCAGAGUGUGGGAACACUGGACCUACGCUUUCAAGACUUAUUUGACAUGGGUCUAGUGGAUUCGAACACCUUGGAUGUAAUGUAAAUGUGUGGUGGGAGGUACAUUUAUGCGGUUGUUGAAAAUUUGUUUGUAUUUAUGUUCUUCACAGAAAAGAAGUCAAAGCCAGUGAAUUUCAGGUUGAAAAACAGUACAUGGUUUCAUUUUUCUUUUGAAAAAAACUGAAAACGGGUCUCACAGACCCGGACACCAUACAAGGGUUAAUAAUCCGGGGUCGCCACCGUGGAAUGAACCGCCAACUUGUCCAGCACAUGUUACAUGCAGCAUAUGCUUCACGUAUUCAUUCUUCAAAAGAAUAAUGUGUUUUAAAUUGGGGGUACAUACUUCAGAAUAUCUAAUAGUUUGUUCCUGUACAAACAUUGAUUGCUCAAAUGUGAAGAUGCGUGUGCUCUUCUCAAUAUUUUUCAGGACAGACAGUCUGAGCAUGUUGGGGAUGUUACUGAGAGGAGGGAAAACAGCCCAAAGCCACAUACAAUUGUGAGCUAACGGACAGCGACUGAAAGAGAGAUAGAGAUUGUAAGUUUAUUAAAAUUUAUUCAUUCAUUUUCUGUUCGGCUCAGUCCCUUUAUUAAUCCGGCAUCGCCACAGCGGAAUAAAUCAGCAACAUAUCAAGCAUCCUCGUUUUUUUUUUUUUUGUUCCUGUAAAAACAUUGAUUGCUCAAAUGUGAAGAUGCGUGUGCUCUUCUCAAUAAUUUUCAGAAAAGCCAGUCUUCCCGAUGUUGAUUCUGUGAAGAUGCACGUGUCAUUCUGAAUAUUUUUCAAAAAACACAGUAUUCUCAUGUCGUUGAUGUUACUGAGGAGCCACCACAGCCCAAACCCCCUUACAAAUGUGAGCGAGCAUAUAGCAUCUGACAGAGAGAUUCGAUGUGACAGUAACGCGAGAACCCACUCCACAAAGAGACCUACGUAUUCCUGAGCUGAAAAGAACUGAAAGUGUGAUCCUUAGCAAGAAAAUCCUUGGAUAUGGUACAGAGGAGUCUAACACAAGUUCAGAGAUGAGUGAGGAUGACGGUAACCGUUCUGGCCAGGAUGUCAGUAGCAAGAAGGAAAAGGACCCAGACAAAAGUGUUCCCCGGAAUAAAAUUCAGGCAAUGGAGGAAAUCCUGAUGGACUCCUUUUUUUUUUUUUUUUCCCUCCUCUCUUUGCGUCUUUGUUGACGACAACGUGUGCAUGGCAAGCUGUUUUGGCAUUUAUCUAUAACCUAUACACGUGUCUAUUUUCAUGUUACAAGUGCUUAAUUUUUAGGUACAAGUGUUUAAUCUUUGUUGAAAUCUAAUUCUACAUGCAAAAACAAAACUUUAACGUUGAAAUAAACGUUUAAGACAAUU
This is a non-coding RNA of Danio rerio (zebrafish), 1818 nucleotides long. Lineage: Eukaryota; Metazoa; Chordata; Actinopteri; Cypriniformes; Danionidae. The record is from RefSeq and is a predicted model, not a curated record.